RNAcentral lists this ribosomal RNA (495 nucleotides) under uncultured bacterium. RNAcentral's name for it is "partial 16S ribosomal RNA". It matches the Rfam family "Bacterial small subunit ribosomal RNA", at positions 28 to 507 of the family's 1533-position model. The record is from RNAcentral.
GACGAACGCUGGCGGCGUGCCUAAUACAUGCAAGUAGAACGCUGAAGGAGGAGCUUGCUUCUCUGGAUGAGUUGCGAACGGGUGAGUAACGCGUAGGUAACCUGCCUGGUAGCGGGGGAUAACUAUUGGAAACGAUAGCUAAUACCGCAUAAGAGUAGAUGUUGCAUGACAUUUGCUUAAAAGGUGCAAUUGCAUCACUACCAGAUGGACCUGCGUUGUAUUAGCUAGUUGGUGAGGUAACGGCUCACCAAGGCGACGAUACAUAGCCGACCUGAGAGGGUGAUCGGCCAGACUGGGACUGGGACACGGCCCAGAAUCCUACGGGAGGAAGCAGUAGGGAAUCUUCGGCCAUGGACGGAAGUCUGACCGAGCAACGCCGCGUGAGUGAAGAAGGUUGUCGGAUCGUAAAGCUCUGUUGUGAGAGAAGAACGAGUGUGAGAGUGGAAAGUUCACACUGUGACGGUAUCUUACCAGAAAGGGACGGCUAACUACGUG